Molecule: unclassified non-coding RNA, 229 nt
Filed under: plant metagenome
Description: partial contains small subunit ribosomal RNA, internal transcribed spacer 1, and 5.8S ribosomal RNA
Source: RNAcentral
UCUCCGUAGGUGAACCUGCGGAGGGAUCAUUACAGAGUUCAUGCCCUACCGGGUAGAUCUCCCACCCUAUGUUAUUAUUACUUUGUUGCUUUGGCGGGCCGUUAGGCUCCGGCCCGACUACCGGCCCCGGCUGGUAAGCGCCCGCCAGAGGCCCCAAAACCCUGAAUAUUAGUGUCGUCUGAGUACUAUAUAAUAGUUAAAACUUUCAACAACGGAUCUCUUGGUUCUG